AACACGUGGGAACGUGCCUUUAGGUUCGGAAUAACUCAGGGAAACUUGUGCUAAUACCGAAUGUGCCCUUCGGGGGAAAGAUUUAUCGCCUUUAGAGCGGCCCGCGUCUGAUUAGCUAGUUGGUGAGGUAAAGGCUCACCAAGGCGACGAUCAGUAGCUGGUCUGAGAGGAUGAUCAGCCACAUUGGGACUGAGACACGGCCCAAACUCCUACGGGAGGCAGCAGUGGGGAAUCUUGCGCAAUGGGCGAAAGCCUGACGCAGCCAUGCCGCGUGAAUGAUGAAGGUCUUAGGAUUGUAAAAUUCUUUCAGUAGGGACGAUAAUGACGGUACCUACAGAAGAAGCCCCGGCUAACUUCGUGCCAGCAGCCGCGGUAAUACGAAGGGGGCUAGCGUUGCUCGGAAUUACUGGGCGUAAAGGGAGCGUAGGCGGACAUUUAAGUCAGGGGUGAAAUCCCGGGGCUCAACCUCGGAAUUGCCUUUGAUACUGGGUGUCUUGAGUGUGAGAGAGGUAUGUGGAACUCCGAGUGUAGAGGUGAAAUUCGUAGAUAUUCGGAAGAACACCAGUGGCGAAGGCGACAUACUGGCUCAUUACUGACGCUGAGGCUCGAAAGCGUGGGGAGCAAACAGGAUUAGAUACCCUGGUAGUCCACGCCGUAAACGAUGAUUGCUAGUUGUCGGGAUGCAUGCAUUUCGGUGACG
Molecule: ribosomal RNA, 700 nt
Filed under: Caulobacteraceae bacterium
Lineage: Bacteria; Pseudomonadati; Pseudomonadota; Alphaproteobacteria; Caulobacterales; Caulobacteraceae
Description: bacterial SSU rRNA
Rfam family: Bacterial small subunit ribosomal RNA
Source: RNAcentral